GCUGCCCUCUUCGACCUCAAGUGAUCACUCUCCGGGGUUAACUAGGGAAGCCUUCGUUAAGGCUAAGGAAUGGUUGGUGGACCUUGUUGGUAGAAGUGUGGAAGCUGGUAAGCCGCGUCAAGGGGAUUCAAUUCAAUCGACAUGUAGCAGAGGU
Long non-coding RNA from Triticum aestivum (bread wheat), 154 nucleotides. RefSeq lists it as uncharacterized. NCBI's taxonomy places the organism in Eukaryota, Viridiplantae, Streptophyta, Magnoliopsida, Poales, Poaceae. The transcript has 3 exons. The record is from RefSeq and is a predicted model, not a curated record.